CAGUCGCCACGGUAACACGUAGGUGGCGAGCGUUGUCCGGAAUUAUUGGGCGUAAAGGGAGCGCAGGCGGGCGAGUAAGUCUUUCUUAAAAGUGCGGGGCUCAACCCCGUGAGGGGAGUGAAACUACUCAUCUUGAGUGCAGGAGAGGAAAGCGGAAUUCCUAGUGUAGCGGUGAAAUGCGUAGAUAUUAGGAAGAACACCAGUGGCGAAGGCGGCUUUCUGGACUGUAACUGACGCUGAGGCUCGAAAGCCAGGGGAGCGAACGGGAUUAGAUACCCGCGUAGUCCCUGUCUCUUAUACA
Molecule: ribosomal RNA, 301 nt
Filed under: uncultured bacterium
Lineage: Bacteria
Description: partial 16S ribosomal RNA
Rfam family: Bacterial small subunit ribosomal RNA
Source: RNAcentral